Molecule: long non-coding RNA, 1164 nt
Organism: Poecile atricapillus (Black-capped chickadee)
Lineage: Eukaryota; Metazoa; Chordata; Aves; Passeriformes; Paridae
Exons: 3
Source: RefSeq, a predicted model, not a curated record
GUCACGUGUGCAAGUGGACUGCACAAAUAUCAGUGGCAAACGUGGGACUGUGUGUUUGGAGACACCUCUAGCAGUGGGUCAAAGCAGGAGGGAAGGUGGCUACAGCUGGAAUCUCCUAGACUCUGCAGGAAUCUAAAGGAAAGAAACAUGGGAUAUGAGGAUAAAGAUGUCCUAAGGCUGUUAAAUGGGGAGCAGACAGUAGCUACCUGCCUGGCUUUGUGAGGAAAUGCACAAUAAACAGGAUCCAGACACCAAGGUGUGAAAGGUAGAUUAUCUUUUAUACAAAUAAGGAAAUGCUAGACCUUCUAGCAAAAAAAUAAACAUGGGAAAGAUAAGGACUGAAGAAACUUGGCUACACUUGGCCUGACACCAUGUGUUGUACACAGCAGUGCUGUGGUGUUUGCAUCCCUCCACUGUGCACCAACAAACAGGACUGAUGUCAGCACCUCUCAUCCAGAAAUGCUGUACAGGCAGUGCUCUCUCUCUCCAGAACAUGAGAAAUCCAUCAAGUUUGCUUUCCCCUGUGUUUUAAUCUAAAUUGAUGCGUGGGAGAAUGGGUAAGAAAAAGCCUUGGCGAUAUCUUGCUGUGUUUUAUCACACACAUUUGGACUGUUGGCAUCGGGGUUUUUGGAGCUGCUCCAUUUUUCUUCCUCUCCUUCUGUGUUGCUCAAUCUUCUGGUCAGAGCUGGGAGAACAAAUAGCAUAGUUUAUAAUCUCUGAAGCAUGGGUAAAACAUGUUAUCUUAAACAGCAGGCAAGCUAUAAAAAUAGCUGCAAACAGUAACUAUAAAUAUAUAAUAACAUAGAAAUAUUUGGGGAAGAAAAAAGCUAAAAAAUGCCAUUCAUUUUCUCAGUUCUGCCCAGCUCUGUGUGGAGCCAUAUCCAUGCUCUUUGGAGGAUAACUGUGUUGGGGCCCAUGUUUUCUCUCUUUUUGUGGCUCUGGAGAGCCUCCACAGCCUGGAUUCUCUCCUUAGUUAAUGGUUAAUGGAAUUUUAGCUGAGGUGAUAAAUCCUGCUUCCUGCUUCAACCUACACAGCCCCUUCCCUCCUCCUCCCAAAAGAGGGUUAACGGGGGAUUUGCAUUUCUCCACCUCCUCCCGUGCCUCCACACUGCUGCCCUUUGCAUCCCCAUUGGGGAUUGCUCCAGAUCUGAACAAAGGGAAGGG